Molecule: ribosomal RNA, 518 nt
Filed under: Pichia kudriavzevii
Lineage: Eukaryota; Fungi; Ascomycota; Pichiomycetes; Pichiales; Pichiaceae
Description: eukaryotic LSU rRNA
Rfam family: Eukaryotic large subunit ribosomal RNA
Source: RNAcentral
GAUUUGAAAUCGCAGCGGCAACGCGGCGAGUUGUAGAUUGCAGGUGGGAGAGUUUGCGGGCGGCGGGCGUCGAAGUCCCUUGGAACAGGGCGCCACUGAGGGUGAGAGCCCCGUGCGAUGCCUGCCCAUGCUUUGAACUCCCCUCUGACGAGUCGAGUUGUUUGGGAAUGCAGCUCUAAGCGGGUGGUAAAUUCCAUCUAAGGCUAAAUACUGGCGAGAGACCGAUAGCGAACAAGUACUGUGAAGGAAAGAUGAAAAGCACUUUGAAAAGAGAGUGAAACAGCACGUGAAAUUGUUGAAAGGGAAGGGUAUUGGGCCCGACAUGGGAAUCGCGCACCGCUGCUCCUCGUGGGCGGCGCUCUGCGCUUUUCCUGGGCCAGCAUCGGUUUCCGCUGCAGGAGAAGGGGCUGUGGAAUGUGGCUGGCACGCUUGCGCGCCAGUGUUAUAGCCACGGGCCAGAUGCUGCGUGUGGGGACCGAGGGCUGCGACGGCAACGUCUCGGAUGCUGGCAAACGGCU